CAGCAGCCGCGGGAAUACGAAGGGUGCAAGCGUUACUCGGAAUUACUGGGCGUAAAGCGUGCGUAGGUGGUGGUUUAAGUCCGUUGUGAAAGCCCUGGGCUCAACCUGGGAAUUGCAGUGGAUACUGGGUCACUAGAGUGUGGUAGAGGAUAGUGGAAUCUCCGGUGUAGCAGUGAAAUGCGUAGAGAUCGGAAGGAACAUCUGUGGCGAAGGCGACUAUCUGGGCCAACACUGACACUGAGGCACGAAAGCGUGGGGAGCAAACAGGAUUAGAUACCCCGGUAGUCCCUGUCUCUUAUAC
This 301-nucleotide ribosomal RNA is filed under the name uncultured bacterium. Its description in RNAcentral is "partial 16S ribosomal RNA". It matches the Rfam family "Bacterial small subunit ribosomal RNA", at positions 509 to 807 of the family's 1533-position model. The record is from RNAcentral.